CACAGAGUAAAAUAUGAAUGUUUCCGGUGUGAAAGGACUAGUUUGUUUUCAACCCACCUUCUCAUGGAACCAACUAGGAAAUCUAGUGGAUGCAAUUUGAAUGUGGUGAAGUCUCCGAAGGGUGCUGUCCCUGUCAAUGAAAUAAGAAGCGGCUAGCUGAUGUAGCGUCUCCAGAGUGACCGAAGAGCUAUUGGUGGUGGAAUCACUUCCUUCAGCUCGUUUGCUCAACUUCCGCUUGUCCACAAAAAUUGCCCAUUUGCUUUUUACAUCCUACUGGUGUUUAACCUGGAGUCUUUUGCUAUUUUACGAAGAGUAUUGAAACAUGUCUCUCUGGAGUCAAAUAUUUCAUUUCAGACACCUCCCUUUAUGAUGUCAAUCUAAGGGCUGAGCUAAGGGAAAUAAAUGUGAUUAUUGUUAUGAGGGCAUACAGUGAGAUGGCAGCAGCCUGUAAGCCAGAAACAGAAGCAUCACCAGAAACUGACCAUGCUGGUACCCUAAUCUCAGACUUCCAGAUUUCUGAAGAACUUCAAAGAAACAAAAGUCUAUUGUUUAAGCCACCUAGUCUGUCACAUUUUGUUAUGGCAAUGUGAGCUAACUAAUACACUACCUUUAAA
RNAcentral lists this long non-coding RNA (614 nucleotides) under Homo sapiens (human). Its description in RNAcentral is "HSALNT0019099". Lineage: Eukaryota; Metazoa; Chordata; Mammalia; Primates; Hominidae. The record is from RNAcentral.